RNAcentral lists this ribosomal RNA (566 nucleotides) under uncultured bacterium. RNAcentral describes it as "partial 16S ribosomal RNA". It matches the Rfam family "Bacterial small subunit ribosomal RNA", at positions 355 to 913 of the family's 1533-position model. The record is from RNAcentral.
UGGGGAAUUUUGGACAAUGGGCGAAAGCCUGAUCCAGCAAUGCCGCGUGUGUGAAGAAGGCCUUCGGGUUGUAAAGCACUUUUGUCCGGAAAGAAAUCCUUGGCUCUAAUACAGUCGGGGGAUGACGGUACCGGAAGAAUAAGCACCGGCUAACUACGUGCCAGCAGCCGCGGUAAUACGUAGGGUGCAAGCGUUAAUCGGAAUUACUGGGCGUAAAGCGUGCGCAGGCGGUUUGCUAAGACCGAUGUGAAAUCCCCGGGCUCAACCUGGGAACUGCAUUGGUGACUGGCAGGCUAGAGUAUGGCAGAGGGGGGUAGAAUUCCACGUGUAGCAGUGAAAUGCGUAGAGAUGUGGAGGAAUACCGAUGGCGAAGGCAGCCCCCUGGGCCAAUACUGACGCUCAUGCACGAAAGCGUGGGGAGCAAACAGGAUUAGAUACCCUGGUAGUCCACGCCCUAAACGAUGUCAACUAGUUGUUGGGGGAUUCAUUUCCUUAGUAACGUAGCUAACGCGUGAAGUUGACCGCCUGGGGAGUACGGUCGCAAGAUUAAAACUUAAAUGAAUUGA